GGCCUGAUGGUCUAGUAGUAUGAUUCUCCCUUCGGGUUGGUUCUUCUCGCAACUUGUAGUUGUUAAUUGGGAGAGGUCCCGGGUUCAAUUCCCGGUCAGGCCC
This 103-nucleotide transfer RNA is filed under the name Lentinula raphanica. Its description in RNAcentral is "tRNA-Pro". It matches the Rfam family "tRNA". From Rfam's summary of the family: Transfer RNA (tRNA) molecules are approximately 80 nucleotides in length. Their secondary structure includes four short double-helical elements and three loops (D, anti-codon, and T loops). The record is from RNAcentral. Lineage: Eukaryota; Fungi; Basidiomycota; Agaricomycetes; Agaricales; Omphalotaceae.